This 274-nucleotide ribosomal RNA is filed under the name uncultured bacterium. RNAcentral's name for it is "partial 16S ribosomal RNA". It matches the Rfam family "Bacterial small subunit ribosomal RNA", at positions 523 to 796 of the family's 1533-position model. The record is from RNAcentral.
AUACGGAGGGGGUUAGCGUUGUUCGGAAUUACUGGGCGUAAAGCGCACGUAGGCGGACUGGAAAGUUGGGGGUGAAAUCCCGGGGCUCAACCCCGGAACUGCCUCCAAAACUUCCAAUCUAGAGAUCGAGAGAGGUGAGUGGAAUUCCAAGUGUAGAGGUGAAAUUCGUAGAUAUUUGGAGGAACACCAGUGGCGAAGGCGGCUCACUGGCUCGAUACUGACGCUGUGGUGCGAAAGCGUGGGGAGCAAACAGGAUUAGAUACCCUAGUAGUCC